Molecule: ribosomal RNA, 492 nt
Filed under: uncultured bacterium
Lineage: Bacteria
Description: partial 16S ribosomal RNA
Rfam family: Bacterial small subunit ribosomal RNA
Source: RNAcentral
AGUGAACGCUGGCGGUAGGCCUAACACAUGCAAGUCGAACGACAGCACAGUAAGAGCUCGCUCUUACGGGUGGCGAGUGGCGGACGGGUGAGGAAUACAUCAGAAUCUACUUUUUCGUGGGGGAUAACGUGGGAAAACUUACGCUAAUACCGCAUACGAUCAACGGGUGAAAGCAGGAGAUCUUCGGACCUUGCGCGUUUGAUUGAGCCGAUGUCGGAUUAGCUAGUUGGCGGGGUAAAGGCCCACCAAGGCAACGAUCCGUAGCUGGUCUGAGAGGAUGAUCAGCCACACUGGAACUGAGACACGGUCCAGACUCCUACGGGAGGCAGCAGUGGGGAAUAUUGGACAAUGGGCGCAAGCCUGAUCCAGCCAUACCGCGUGGGUGAAGAAGGCCUUCGGGUUGUAAAGCCCUUUUGUUGGGAAAGAAAAGCAGCAGGUGAAUACCCCGAUGUUCUGACGGUACCCAAAGAAUAAGCACCGGCUAACUUCGUG